Molecule: microRNA, 21 nt
Filed under: Echinococcus granulosus
Lineage: Eukaryota; Metazoa; Platyhelminthes; Cestoda; Cyclophyllidea; Taeniidae
Description: egr-miR-10279-5p
Source: miRBase by way of RNAcentral
ACGUUCGCGCACGUCCAGCGG